Molecule: long non-coding RNA, 499 nt
Organism: Acanthochromis polyacanthus (spiny chromis)
Lineage: Eukaryota; Metazoa; Chordata; Actinopteri; Pomacentridae
Exons: 3
Source: RefSeq, a predicted model, not a curated record
UUUCUUAUAAAUAAUAAAAUAAUCUUUAAAAAAAACUUCCUAUGAUAUUAUUUCUGUGAAAUUACAAUUGCUUUUUAGAAAACCACACCUAAAAUAUCAAUGUAAUGUCUUUUUAGGCCAAGUAGCCGACUUCUGCAUGCUGGUUACCUAACAGACAGUGAGGAUGAAUCAAGACCUCAGCAGUGUGGCAACGGCUUAGCCAGUGCUCCACCAGUCUGUCCACCCACAUAUCAAGCCCUUCAUCCUCCCAUGAUGUCUCACCAAAACGAGAUGAGACAUGACAGUUUGUCCUCCACUAGCCAAUGGAAUACUGACCAGGACCAGAGGAGCAGCUUGCAGUGGGGACCCCAGUUUGAGUAUCACCCUAAUCCAAGAACACAGCCCACACCAUCGUGGUCUGCAUGAGAAACUACAAACUCACUAAUGCGGGAAAUGCUGACAAAGCGAGAAAUGAUUCUCGACCAGCAGAAACACAUUCUCCAUCUGCUCCAAGCAAGAC